GCUCUCUUCGGAGAGUGCAUAGAGUGGCGCACGGGUGAGUAACACGUAAGUAAUCUACCUUCGAGUGGGGAAUAACGUCCGGAAACGGACGCUAAUACCGCAUAAUGCAGCGGCAUCGUAAGAUGACAGUUGUUAAAGAUUUAUCGCUUGAAGAGGAGCUUGCGGCAGAUUAGCUAGUUGGUAAGGUAAUGGCUUACCAAGGCUACGAUCUGUAACCGGUCUUAGAGGACGGUCGGUCACACUGACACUGAAUAACGGGUCAGACUCCUACGGGAGGCAGCAGUCGGGAAUUUUGGGCAAUGGGCGAAAGCCUGACCCAGCAACGCCGCGUGAAGGAUGAAGUAUUUCGGUAUGUAAACUUCGAAAGAAUAGGAAGAAUAAAUGACGGUACUAUUUAUAAGGUCCGGCUAACUACGUGCCAGC
Molecule: ribosomal RNA, 423 nt
Filed under: uncultured bacterium
Lineage: Bacteria
Description: bacterial SSU rRNA
Rfam family: Bacterial small subunit ribosomal RNA
Source: RNAcentral